UUUAUAGACAGGAGAACUGAGGCUUGGGGGGGGGGCAUAACUUCCGGAAGGGCACAAAGCUAAAAAGUGGUAGGUGCGGAAUUUGAACCCAGGUCUUUGAGAUGCCCCAGUCCCUCCUCUCACAAGAAAGCACCUGAGCUUCCCACUUUCUGAUUGACGUGGCAGGGUUGGUUGGUUACAUCCGAAUCACCUGGGAGCUUUAAACUUCCUAUUGCUGGGCCCACCUGGUGAUUCUGAUUAAGCCGUUUUAGAGCGGAGCCCCUGAAUCUCCUUGACUCCAUCCUACCCGGAAGAGCAGAUAUCCCGUAAGUGCCAAGUUUCUUCCGCUGUCUGCAGCUGACCGUGAUGUCUUCUAGCUGGCAGCCCACCCUCUCCCACAGACCCCCAGCCAAAUCCCCAAGGCCUCAGUGUCACCCGAGUUCCAGGAUGGCAGAAGCCAAGGACUCUGCCAUACCAUCUUUUUUGGCUUCCAGUUUCUCUGCUGCCAAGAAACGUGAAUUGGAGAUUGUAAAAUGAAGAUGUGCUGAUGUGCCACUCCCAACAAUGACAGUGGACCUGCCGUCUUGCUCCCAGCUCCCCGUCUAUACUUCCAUCUUCUCUGUUGGAAGGUACAGGAACCAUCGAUUUGCUCAGCUAUUUGUUAAAAAUGAAAGAAUGACUUUAUUCCGGAAUCUGUGCACAGCUCCUUUAAGAAUGAGAAGAAGACAGCAGAGGAGCAAGUGUGGCCAAAGGGCUGUUAGCUGGACCAUCUCCUUCUGCGGCAUCUGGUCUGAGCUCCCCUCCGCCUGUGGGACCCACCUGUCACUCUCUGAGGAUUCUCUGAAGUCAGAUCCACCUUUAGGUUCUGCCCUUUUCCCUGAGCUCGUCCUUGGUCUUUGCUCUGUUGACUUGCGCCUCUUUGACCGCAGACACGUGCAGGCCUCUGCCCUGGCCCAUCUCUCCUGCAGUCCUGAUCUGGACAACUGUUGGCUCCACUCUGUCCCCUGCUUCUGUCUGAGCCAGUGCUUGUUAACAGGUCUUUCGUGUGGCUCCUUCUUUCAUAUUUUAUGGCACUCCUUUCCUGAACUUGGCACCAAGUCCCUCUGGAACUGUCCUGGGAGAUAAUACAAUGUCACUGCUAAGGGCAACAACCGAUUGUCCCUCUUCUUCAAUGAUCUACCAGUGUCCGCGAGCUGAACUCUCUCUCCGCUGGGGGAAGUCAAUGGAGGUCACUGCCCGAGAGAUUGAGGGUCAGUCUUUGUCUGCCUUCUUGACAGCUCCAAAAGUCUCAUGUUUCUGAUGAGAUCUGCUGAAGCUUUAUGGAGAGAAAAACCCAAGUGGUUCAAGCCGGCGUGCCUGGAUUCCCCUGGAAACAGCAGGAAUGCCCUUUCUGGGGGCUGUUAUUUGUUAAAAUCGGUUACAGUGCAUUCCAGGAGAGACGUUCCAAAAAAUGCAGGAGCAAUGACAGCCUUGCCGGAAUAGGAGCGAGAACAUGGAACGUGGAGUCAGUCAACCCAAGUUUCAAUGGGCAGAGGCAGCUCCUCACUUUCCAAAUGAACAACCUUGUGCAAGUCAUCAAAACUCCCCGAGCCUUCGCUUCUUCAUCUAUAAAAUGAGGAUGAAAAGAAGACCUUUCUGAUGGUGCUGGUUUGAAGAUCAAAUAAAAUAAUGAAUGUGAAAGUGUAUUGUGAAAUGUCAGGCGCUUUUUAAUGUUAACUAUUAAUAGUAAUGUGUAUUAUUAUUAGUCUAUGAUUCCACUGAACACUUUAGCAACAAAGAACAGAAACUCUGACUCAGACUGGCUUAACAACAGGGAAACUUAUUAUCUCCUGUAACAGGAGAUUCAAAGGUAGAUGAGGCUUCAGGGCUGGUGGGCUCAGGUCUCAGGUGCGUCUUCAGCGCCCAGGUUCUUUUUCUCUCCCUCUUCGGCCAUCCUGGGUUAUCAGCUUUAUCUUCAGCCUGGUCUAAGAUGGCUUAGCAAAUUCAGGCAUCACCGGUAGACACAGCACUA
Equus caballus (horse) is the source of this 1990-nucleotide long non-coding RNA. The record is from Ensembl. Lineage: Eukaryota; Metazoa; Chordata; Mammalia; Perissodactyla; Equidae.